RNAcentral lists this ribosomal RNA (1307 nucleotides) under Escherichia coli. RNAcentral describes it as "bacterial SSU rRNA". It matches the Rfam family "Bacterial small subunit ribosomal RNA", at positions 87 to 1390 of the family's 1533-position model. Lineage: Bacteria; Pseudomonadati; Pseudomonadota; Gammaproteobacteria; Enterobacterales; Enterobacteriaceae. The record is from RNAcentral.
GCUGACGAGUGGCGGACGGGUGAGUAAUGUCUGGGAAACUGCCUGAUGGAGGGGGAUAACUACUGGAAACGGUAGCUAAUACCGCAUAACGUCGCAAGACCAAAGAGGGGGACCUUCGGGCCUCUUGCCAUCGGAUGUGCCCAGAUGGGAUUAGCUAGUAGGUGGGGUAACGGCUCACCUAGGCGACGAUCCCUAGCUGGUCUGAGAGGAUGACCAGCCACACUGGAACUGAGACACGGUCCAGACUCCUACGGGAGGCAGCAGUGGGGAAUAUUGCACAAUGGGCGCAAGCCUGAUGCAGCCAUGCCGCGUGUAUGAAGAAGGCCUUCGGGUUGUAAAGUACUUUCAGCGGGGAGGAAGGGAGUAAAGUUAAUACCUUUGCUCAUUGACGUUACCCGCAGAAGAAGCACCGGCUAACUCCGUGCCAGCAGCCGCGGUAAUACGGAGGGUGCAAGCGUUUAAUCGGAAUUACUGGGCGUAAAGCGCACGCAGGCGGUUUGUUAAGUCAGAUGUGAAAUCCCCGGGCUCAACCUGGGAACUGCAUCUGAUACUGGCAAGCUUGAGUCUCGUAGAGGGGGGUAGAAUUCCAGGUGUAGCGGUGAAAUGCGUAGAGAUCUGGAGGAAUACCGGUGGCGAAGGCGGCCCCCUGGACGAAGACUGACGCUCAGGUGCGAAAGCGUGGGGAGCAAACAGGAUUAGAUACCCUGGUAGUCCACGCCGUAAACGAUGUCGACUUGGAGGUUGUGCCCUUGAGGCGUGGCUUCCGGAGCUAACGCGUUAAGUCGACCGCCUGGGGAGUACGGCCGCAAGGUUAAAACUCAAAUGAAUUGACGGGGGCCCGCACAAGCGGUGGAGCAUGUGGUUUAAUUCGAUGCAACGCGAAGAACCUUACCUGGUCUUGACAUCCACAGAACUUUCCAGAGAUGGAUUGGUGCCUUCGGGAACUGUGAGACAGGUGCUGCAUGGCUGUCGUCAGCUCGUGUUGUGAAAUGUUGGGUUAAGUCCCGCAACGAGCGCAACCCUUAUCCUUUGUUGCCAGCGGUCCGGCCGGGAACUCAAAGGAGACUGCCAGUGAUAAACUGGAGGAAGGUGGGGAUGACGUCAAGUCAUCAUGGCCCUUACGACCAGGGCUACACACGUGCUACAAUGGCGCAUACAAAGAGAAGCGACCUCGCGAGAGCAAGCGGACCUCAUAAAGUGCGUCGUAGUCCGGAUUGGAGUCUGCAACUCGACUCCAUGAAGUCGGAAUCGCUAGUAAUCGUGGAUCAGAAUGCCACGGUGAAUACGUUCCCGGGCCUUGUACACAC